ACGUCGUUGGUGUAUCGGUUAGCAUGCAUGCCUUCCAUACCCUAUAUAGCAUGCGGGUCGGGUUCGAUUCCCGAACGGCGUA
Tulasnella sp. 408 is the source of this 82-nucleotide non-coding RNA. The record is from the annotation of a GenBank genome assembly. NCBI's taxonomy places the organism in Eukaryota, Fungi, Basidiomycota, Agaricomycetes, Cantharellales, Tulasnellaceae.